This 607-nucleotide long non-coding RNA is filed under the name Fukomys damarensis (Damara mole-rat). Its description in RNAcentral is "lncRNA (ENSFDAG00000029051.1)". Lineage: Eukaryota; Metazoa; Chordata; Mammalia; Rodentia; Bathyergidae. The record is from RNAcentral.
CGAAGAGGUCCUGUGGGGUGGGGCAAGCUGGUGUGGGCGUGGUCGUGGUGGCACAAGUGAGAGAGGCUGGCCAAGGUGGGUGGCCGCCUGCUGGGUCAGGUCCUCCUUCUGCCGUGCCCUGGCUAGGAAGCCCGAGGGGCGUGGACACCCGAGUUCCCAUCUCUUCUACAUUGCGGACGACCUCAUUUGGCCAGGACAUCCACGUGGCCUUGUGUCCCACAGUAUCUGGGGUUUCUGGAACCUUGCAGGGUAGCCCCCACUUCAUCCCAGAUGCAGACUUUGUCACCCUUGAAGAGCUCAGGCCACAGGAAGGAGCCAUGAAGAUCCAUGGCCACUGAAAGGAUGGGGCUGUGAGGUGGAAUGAGGGUGCCAAGAGGGGCCCUGUGGCCAGGUAAAGCCUCACGGCACGGCCAGGUACGUGCGGUGGCCCCAACUCUCUUGCCUGUAUGCUGGAGUCAUGCUCCGUGGUACACGCUGGGUUAGUGCCUGUCCUAAGUGGAAGCUGCCCCAUAGCCUUGCCACUAAAACACGGAACCACAGCAAGGCCUCACUGGGCCCCUGAUGGCCAGGAAGCACACAGCUUUUUCUCUCUCUCUCUCUCUCUCUC